UGGUUAAGUGGUCACUGCGCUCGCCUUGCACGCGGGAGACCCGGGUUCGAUUCCCGG
This 57-nucleotide transfer RNA is filed under the name Diaphorina citri (Asian citrus psyllid). The record is from Rfam by way of RNAcentral. Lineage: Eukaryota; Metazoa; Arthropoda; Insecta; Hemiptera; Psyllidae.